This 397-nucleotide ribosomal RNA is filed under the name Pseudomonas aeruginosa. RNAcentral describes it as "partial 23S ribosomal RNA". It matches the Rfam family "Bacterial large subunit ribosomal RNA", at positions 1 to 437 of the family's 2925-position model. Lineage: Bacteria; Pseudomonadati; Pseudomonadota; Gammaproteobacteria; Pseudomonadales; Pseudomonadaceae. The record is from RNAcentral.
GGUUAAGCGACUAAGCGUACACGGUGGAUGCCCUGGCAGUCAGAGGCGAUGAAGGACGUGCUAAUCUGCGAAAAGCGUCGGUAAGGUGAUAUGAACCGUUAUAACCGGCGAUGUCCGAAUGGGGAAACCCAGUGCAAUUCGUUGCACUAUCGUUAACUGAAUACAUAGGUUAACGAGGCGAACCGGGGGAACUGAAACAUCUAAGUACCCCGAGGAAAAGAAAUCAACCGAGAUUCCCCCAGUAGCGGCGAGCGAACGGGGAGCAGCCCAGAGUCUGAAUCAGCUUGUGUGUUAGUGGAACGGUCUGGAAAGUCCGACGGUACAGGGUGAUAGUCCCGUACACCAAAAUGCACAGGCUGUGAACUCGAAGAGUAGGGCGGGACACGUGGUAUCCUGU